UACGUAGGGGGCAAGCGUUAUCCGGAUUUACUGGGUGUAAAGGGGGCGCAGACGGCAGCGCAAGCCAGGAGUGAAAGCCCGGGGCCCAACCCCGGGACUGCUCUUGGAACUGCGCGGCUGGAGUGCAGGAGGGGCAGGCGGAAUUCCUGGUGUAGCGGUGAAAUGCGUAGAUAUCAGGAGGAACACCGGUGGCGAAGGCGGCCUGCGGGACUGCGACUGACGUUGAGGCGCGAAAGCGUGGGGAGCAAACAGG
This 253-nucleotide ribosomal RNA is filed under the name uncultured bacterium. RNAcentral's name for it is "partial 16S ribosomal RNA". It matches the Rfam family "Bacterial small subunit ribosomal RNA", at positions 524 to 776 of the family's 1533-position model. The record is from RNAcentral.